This 148-nucleotide ribosomal RNA is filed under the name Pteropus alecto (black flying fox). The record is from RNAcentral. Lineage: Eukaryota; Metazoa; Chordata; Mammalia; Chiroptera; Pteropodidae.
GUAUAUGGUCAUGCUACCCUGAGCAAGCCCUAUCUUGUCUGAUCUCGGAAGCUAAGCAGGAUCAGGCCUGGAAAGUAUUUGGAUGGGGGGUCAGGCCUGAAAAUUACUAAGAUGGGAGACCACCUAGGAAGACCAGGUGCCAUAGGCA